RNAcentral lists this long non-coding RNA (1008 nucleotides) under Sus scrofa (pig). Its description in RNAcentral is "lncRNA (ENSSSCG00035080492.1)". Lineage: Eukaryota; Metazoa; Chordata; Mammalia; Artiodactyla; Suidae. The record is from RNAcentral.
AUUUUGCCUCACGUGUGUUCAGUUAACUUAAUGAGCUCUCUAUAGGGGUAGCUUUCUUGAGAGACCGUUGCUAAGGGCCAGUCACACGUUUCUCACUGUUGUGAUGGAAACGUGAUUAGAUGCUGAUCCCAGCUCGGCAGAAUUGGCUGGAGUGUCUGGUUAGAGUGGCCUCUUCUGCAGGAGCCUGUGGGAUCUCACGGUGCAACAUCUGCAACCUUGUGAUUUCAGCAAAUGGACAAGAGGUGGCAACAUGCCAGGAGGUGGUGGUUCAGGAGGACUUCAGGGCCAUGCAGUUUGAGGGCACAUGUCCACUUUAGCUGCUGUGCCUGAGCUCCACCUGUGGUGGGCACCCAGGAACAGGACCUCUGUGGCCCCUGCCCUCCUGGCACUGGAUGAGGAGGUGAGAACCGAGGCCCAGAGAAGUUACACAUGUCCAUGGUCACAUGACUGGGCCUGUCAGCACCUCCUAAGCAGGAAGCAUUCACCUCUGAAGAGAACCAAAGGCGGGGGAGGCUUUGUUGGUGAUGCAGCUGUCAUAUCCUAUUAGUGCACGGGUGGGUCUCAGCGAGCACAGGAGGUAUGUCAUUUAUAGACAGAAAUUGCAUAAUUAAGCUUGAUAGAAUUUUGACGCUUUCUUGGCAGCGCAAUUUGUUCGUCAAGUAAAAAACCUUUAGGAAGUUCAUCACAUGGAAUUUGGAACUCCUGAGUUCAAGACUAGGUAUCUUUCACAGGUGGCACUGAGAACUCGGGAGCUGAUUUGAUUUAGGGCCAUCAUAAAGGCUCCCAAAAAGAGCCUCUUUUGCCUUUGGCUUCUGGAUUCAUACAUUCAGGUUUUAAUGGGAAAAACAACAUAGACAAAGCCAGAUUUCAUCCCACUUGGUUUGAGAACGUGGACCAUAUGCAUUGACUUUAGUUCCUUCCUAUUAAUUUCCUUUUUAAAAAUCAUUUUUUAUUGUGACAUAUAACUCAUGUACGGAAAAGUACACCAACCCCAAAUAUAUAGCCCAG